CCUACGGGAGGCAGCAGUGAGGAAUAUUGGUCAAUGGGAGAGAUCCUGAACCAGCCAAGCCGCGUGCGGGAAGACGGCCCUAUGGGUUGUAACCCUCUUUUGUCGGAGAACAAAACCCGGGACGUGUCCAGUACUGCGUGUACCCGAAGAGUAAGCAUCGGCUAACUCCGUGCCAGGCGCCGCGGUAUAACGGGGGAUGCGAGCGUUAUCCGGAUUUAUUGGGGUUAAAGGGUGCGUAGGCGGUCCGUUAAGUCAGAGGUAAAAUUGCGGGGCUAAACCCCGUCGAGCCGUGGAUACUGGCAGACUUGAGUGGGCGAGAAGUACGCGGAAUGCGCGGUGUAGCGGUGAAAUGCAUAGAUAUCGCGAAGAACUCCGAUGGCGAAGGCAGCGUACCGGCGCCAGACUGACGCUGAGGCACGAAAGCGUGGGGAGCGAACAGGAUUAGAUACCCUUGUAGUC
RNAcentral lists this ribosomal RNA (459 nucleotides) under uncultured bacterium. RNAcentral describes it as "partial 16S ribosomal RNA". It matches the Rfam family "Bacterial small subunit ribosomal RNA", at positions 338 to 795 of the family's 1533-position model. The record is from RNAcentral.